RNAcentral lists this ribosomal RNA (492 nucleotides) under uncultured fungus. RNAcentral describes it as "eukaryotic LSU rRNA". The stretch from base 155 to 308 matches the Rfam family "5.8S ribosomal RNA". Lineage: Eukaryota; Fungi. The record is from RNAcentral.
AUCAUUACAGAGUUGCAAAACUCCGAACCCUUUGUCAUUUAUUCUCAAGUUGCUUCGGCGGGCGGCCCCAGGGCGGGCUCGCGUCCGCCUGCCGAAGACCUACUCAAAUUCUUUACUGUUUAGUGUCUCUCUGAAGCCUAAAAAAAUAAGUUAAAACUUUCAACAACGGAUCUCUUGGUUCUGGCAUCGAUGAAGAACGCAGCGAAAUGCGAUAAGUAAUGUGAAUUGCAGAAUUCAGUGAAUCAUCGAAUCUUUGAACGCACAUUGCGCCCGUUAGCAUUCUAGCGGGCAUGCCUGUUCGAGCGUCAUUUCAACCCUCAGAGCCCCUGUAUUUUUAAUGCUGGGUGUGCUGGUGUUGGGGCUUCUGCGGCUGCCGCAGGCCCUGAAAAACAGUGGCGGGCUCCGCUAUACUCCGAGCGCAGUAAUACUUCUCGCUCAUGGGCGUGUAGUGGGGAUCUUGUCUUCUAAAUUUAACUUAAAAUGGGUUGACCU